This 353-nucleotide long non-coding RNA is filed under the name Elaeis guineensis (African oil palm). RNAcentral describes it as "long non-coding RNA (EGUI_LNC044863)". The record is from RNAcentral. Lineage: Eukaryota; Viridiplantae; Streptophyta; Magnoliopsida; Arecales; Arecaceae.
UAAUCUUAUUGAUACUUAUAUAUUUGUGGUGAGCUCCAUAGAGCUAAGUACAAGCAUGCUGACCAUAGGUCAUGUUUAGUUUAUCCUGCUCUUGAGAAACUAGUCUAUACAAAUAGCUCAGAACUCUUUGUCAAUCCUUGCUUGAUCCUGCUGUUGAGAAACUAGUCUAUACAAAUAGCUCAGAAUUCUUUGUCAAUCCUUGCUUGAUUCUAGUUGGAUGAGCCAGUAUGGAACCAAACACCAGCUAGUAAUGAAUGAUUUGUUUGGUCCCUAAUGAGAUAGUUAGAUGUUAUAAAACGCAAAUUAAGUAGAAGGCUUUGUCAUUGUUUUAGAAAAGAAUAAAAGCAAACAAG